GAUGAACGCUGGCGGCGUGCCUAAUACAUGCAAGUCGAGCGAACAGACGAGGAGCUUGCUCCUCUGACGUUAGCGGCGGACGGGUGAGUAACACGUGGAUAACCUACCUAUAAGACUGGGAUAACUUCGGGAAACCGGAGCUAAUACCGGAUAAUAUAUUGAACCGCAUGGUUCAAUAGUGAAAGACGGUUUUGCUGUCACUUAUAGAUGGAUCCGCGCCGCAUUAGCUAGUUGGUAAGGUAACGGCUUACCAAGGCAACGAUGCGUAGCCGACCUGAGAGGGGGGCCGGCAACAGUGGAACUAAGACACGGUCAAGAGUCGAACGGGAGGAAGCAGUAGGGAAUUUUGGACAAGGGACGAAGGCGUAACGGAGAAAGGCAGGGGGGGUGAUGAAGGUCUUCGAAUCGUAAAACUCUUUUAUUAGGGAAGAACAAAGGUCUAAGAAAAUAUGCACGUCUUGAGGGUACGUAAUCAGAAAGCGAAGGCUAACUACGUG
Molecule: ribosomal RNA, 497 nt
Filed under: uncultured bacterium
Lineage: Bacteria
Description: partial 16S ribosomal RNA
Rfam family: Bacterial small subunit ribosomal RNA
Source: RNAcentral